GUGGGGAAUCUUAGACAAUGGGCGCAAGCCUGAUCUAGCCAUGCCGCGUGAGUGAUGAAGGCCCUAGGGUUGUAAAGCUCUUUCAGCUGGGAAGAUAAUGACGGUACCAGCAGAAGAAGCCCCGGCUAACUCCGUGCCAGCAGCCGCGGUAAUACGGAGGGGGCUAGCGUUGUUCGGAAUUACUGGGCGUAAAGCGCGCGUAGGCGGACUGAAAAGUUGGGGGUGAAAUCCCGGGGCUCAACCUUGGAACUGCCUUCAAAACUCCUGGUCUGGAGUUCGAGAGAGGUGAGUGGAAUUCCGAGUGUAGAGGUGAAAUUCGUAGAUAUUCGGAGGAACACCAGUGGCGAAGGCGGCUCACUGGCUCGAUACUGACGCUGAGGUGCGAAAGCGUGGGGAGCAAACAGGAUUAGAUACCCCUGUAGUCC
Molecule: ribosomal RNA, 425 nt
Filed under: uncultured bacterium
Lineage: Bacteria
Description: partial 16S ribosomal RNA
Rfam family: Bacterial small subunit ribosomal RNA
Source: RNAcentral